UGCAGUCGAGCGGUGACGGGAGCUUGCUCCUUGAUUCAGCGGCGGACGGGUGAGUAAUGCCUAGGAAUCUGCCUGGUAGUGGGGGACAACGUUUCGAAAGGAACGCUAAUACCGCAUACGUCCUACGGGAGAAAGCAGGGGACCUUCGGGCCUUGCGCUAUCAGAUGAGCCUAGGUCGGAUUAGCUAGUUGGUGGGGUAAUGGCUCACCAAGGCGACGAUCCGUAACUGGUCUGAGAGGAUGAUCAGUCACACUGGAACUGAGACACGGUCCAGACUCCUACGGGAGGCAGCAGUGGGGAAUAUUGGACAAUGGGCGAAAGCCUGAUCCAGCCAUGCCGCGUGUGUGAAGAAGGUCUUCGGAUUGUAAAGCACUUUAAGUUGGGAGGAAGGGCAGUAAGUUAAUACCUUGCUGUUUUGACGUUACCGACAGAAUAAGCACCGGCUAACUCUGUGCCAGCAGCCGCGGUAAUACAGAGGGUGCAAGCGUUAAUCGGAAUUACUGGGCGUAAAGCGCGCGUAGGUGGUUCGUUAAGUUGGAUGUGAAAGCCCCGGGCUCAACCUGGGAACUGCAUCCAAAACUGGCGAGCUAGAGUACGGUAGAGGGUGGUGGAAUUUCCUGUGUAGCGGUGAAAUGCGUAGA
RNAcentral lists this ribosomal RNA (641 nucleotides) under Pseudomonas monteilii. RNAcentral describes it as "bacterial SSU rRNA". It matches the Rfam family "Bacterial small subunit ribosomal RNA", at positions 56 to 694 of the family's 1533-position model. The record is from RNAcentral. Lineage: Bacteria; Pseudomonadati; Pseudomonadota; Gammaproteobacteria; Pseudomonadales; Pseudomonadaceae.